GAUGAACGCUGGCGGCGUGCCUAAUACAUGCAAGUCGAGCGAACGGACGAGAAGCUUGCUUCUCUGAUGUUAGCGGCGGACGGGUGAGUAACACGUGGAUAACCUACCUAUAAGACUGGGAUAACUUCGGGAAACCGUAGCUAAUACCGGAUAAUAUUUUGAACCGCAUGGUUCAAAAGUGAAAGACGGUCUUGCUGUCACUUAUAGAUGGAUCCGCGCUGCAUUAGCUAGUUGGUAAGGUAACGGCUUACCAAGGCAACGAUGCAUAGCCGACCUGAGAGGGUGAUCGGCCACACUGGAACUGAGACACGGUCCAGACUCCUACGGGAGGCAGCAGUAGGGAAUCUUCGGCAAUGGGCGAAAGCCUGACGGAGCAACGCCGCGUGAGUGAUGAAGGUCUUCGGAUCGUAAAACUCUGUUAUUAGGGAAGAAAAUAUGUGUAAGUAACUGUGCACAUCUUGACGGUACCUAAUCAGAAAGCCACGGCUAACUACGUG
This 497-nucleotide ribosomal RNA is filed under the name uncultured bacterium. Its description in RNAcentral is "partial 16S ribosomal RNA". It matches the Rfam family "Bacterial small subunit ribosomal RNA", at positions 28 to 507 of the family's 1533-position model. The record is from RNAcentral.